GAUGAACGCUAGCGAUAGGCCUAACACAUGCAAGUCGAGGGGCAUCACAUGAAGUAGCAAUACGGAUGGUGGCGACCGGCGCACGGGUGAGUAACACGUAUGCAACCUGCCUUCAACAAGGGGAUAACCCGUUGAAAGACGGACUAAUACCCUAUAACACAGGGGUCCCGCAUGGGGAUAUUUGUUAAAGGACAACCGGUUGAAGAUGGGCAUGCGUUCCAUUAGCUAGUUGGCGGGUAAGGCCCACCAAGGCAACGAUGGAUAGGGGAACUGAGAGGUUUAUCCCCCACACUGGUACUGAGACACGGACCAGACUCCUACGGGAGGCAGCAGUGAGGAAUAUUGGUCAAUGGACGCAAGUCUGAACCAGCCACGUCGCGUGAAGGAAGACGGCCCUACGGGUUGUAAACUUCUUUUGCAAGGGAAUAAAGUGGGCCACGUGUGGCCUUUUGCAAGUACCUUGCGAAUAAGGAUCGGCUAACUCCGUGCCAGCAGCCGCGGUAA
Molecule: ribosomal RNA, 504 nt
Filed under: uncultured bacterium
Lineage: Bacteria
Description: bacterial SSU rRNA
Rfam family: Bacterial small subunit ribosomal RNA
Source: RNAcentral